Penaeus monodon (black tiger shrimp) is the source of this 551-nucleotide long non-coding RNA. RefSeq lists it as uncharacterized. NCBI's taxonomy places the organism in Eukaryota, Metazoa, Arthropoda, Malacostraca, Decapoda, Penaeidae. The transcript has 2 exons. The record is from RefSeq and is a predicted model, not a curated record.
GGAAUGAGUACAUGGCCACCACGACCCGGCCUCGCGAUGGCGUUGAUGGUGUGACUGGUUCUGGUGAGAUUUAGAGGACUUUCAAAACAGUGUAAAGAAAAAAAUAUUUGGAGUGCUUAACUCUUUAAAACUGCUUUUUACAUCCCAUCUAGUUUUAUAAUUUGUUGAUCUGUAGAGAUAAAACACUAGUUACAUCUUUUCAAAAUCACCAUUUUGUAUAGAAAGCCAUGUAGUUCUUGUUGUUUCUUUGAAAUCAUUUUCUGCUUAGAAUGAUAGAGCGAAAAAUAAUCAAGGGAAUCUUGUCACCUUUACAAACUUCAUGAUGAUCUUUCUUUGACAUUUCUGCAUCCUAGUGAGGCACACCAAUCAUCAAACAGUUUAACUUGAUGAUAUUCAAUACAGUAAUAUGCAAUGUCAAUUGUGUAUCAUAAGCUAUUAUCAAAACUACAUGCACUCAGCACUUCAUGUCAUUUGUUAGCUUCCAAUUAAUUUUGAAGUACUUUAACACCAUACUCAUUACACUUGACAAAAUAAAUAUAAGCUAGCCAACA